This is a small nucleolar RNA of Neltuma alba, 80 nucleotides long. RefSeq annotates it as small nucleolar RNA snoR117. The transcript has a single exon. NCBI's taxonomy places the organism in Eukaryota, Viridiplantae, Streptophyta, Magnoliopsida, Fabales, Fabaceae. The record is from RefSeq and is a predicted model, not a curated record.
GGCCUGUGAUGCCCAAUCAUUUGUCCGUACCAUCUGAGAAUUCUCUCUGAAGCAUUCUUUAACUAUUCAAUCUGAGGCCU